ACUGGAGGUAUCAGAAGUGCGAAUGCUGACAUAAGUAACGAUUAACAGAGUGAAAAACUCUGUCGCCGAAAAUCCAAGGGUUCCUGCGCAAGGUUAAUCCGCGCAGGGUUAGUCGACCCCUAAGACGAGGGCGAAAGCCGUAGUCGAUGGGAACCAGGUUAAUAUUCCUGGACCAGAUGGUAGUGACGGAUUUUGUAAAUUGUUAACUCUUAAUGGAUUGAGUUAGCUGUGAAGAAAUUCCAGGAAAUAGCUCCAUCAUAAGAUCGUACCCGAAACCGACACAGGUGGAUUAGUAGAGUAUAUCUAGGCGCUUGAGAGAAUGAUGUUGAAGGAACUCGGCAAAAUGCCUCUGUAACUUCGGAAGAAAGAGGACCUAUUUUUGGGCAACCAUAAGUAGGUGGCACAAGCCAGGGAGAAGCGACUGUUUAUCAAAAACACAGGACUCUGCUAACACGUAAGUGGAUGUAUAGGGUCUGACGCCUGCCCGGUGCCGGAAGGUUAAUGCGAUGGGUGCAAGCCUGUUUCUGAAGCCCCGGUGAACGGCGGCCGUAACUAUAACGGUCCUAAGGUAGCGAAAUUCCUUGUCGGGUAAGUUCCGACCUGCAUGAAUGGCGUAACGAUUUCUCCGCUGUCUCCAACAUCAACUCAGUGAAAUUGAAUUCUCCGUGAAGAUGCGGAGUUCCCGUGGUUAGACGGAAAGACCCCGUGCACCUUUACUGCAACUUUACAUUGGUAUCAGAAGCGACAUGUUUAGCAUAGGAGGGAGACUUUGAAGUGGUAGCGUCAGCUAUCAUGGAGUCGCCAGUGAAAUACCUCUCUUGUUAUUUUUGAUAUCUAACUGUUAGCCGUAAUCCGGCAGCAAGACACUGUAUGGUGGGUAGUUUGACUGGGGCGGUCGCCUCCCAAAGAUUAACGGAGGCGUGCGAAGGUAGGCUCAGAACGGUCAGAAAUCGUUCGUAGAGUGCAAUGGCAUAAGCCUGCCUGACUGCGAGACUGACAAGUCGAGCAGAGUCGAAAGACGGUCAUAGUGAUCCGGUGGUUCUGAGUGGAAGGGCCAUCGCUCAACGGAUAAAAGGUACGCCGGGGAUAACAGGCUGAUACCCUCCAAGAGUUCAUAUCGACGAGGGUGUUUAGCACCUCGAUGUCGGCUCAUCACAUCCUGGCGCUGGAGCAGGUCACAAGGGUUUGACUGUUCGCCAAUUAAAGUGGUACG
Molecule: ribosomal RNA, 1213 nt
Filed under: marine metagenome
Description: bacterial LSU rRNA
Rfam family: Bacterial large subunit ribosomal RNA
Source: RNAcentral